This 69-nucleotide transfer RNA is filed under the name Megaloglossus woermanni (Woermann's bat). RNAcentral describes it as "tRNA-Cys". Lineage: Eukaryota; Metazoa; Chordata; Mammalia; Chiroptera; Pteropodidae. The record is from RNAcentral.
AGCCCUGUGGUGUUACAAUACAUGCCAAAUUGCAAAUUUGGAGAAGCAGUUUCACCCCUGCCAGGGCUU